UUGCUCUUUAACCAGUGAGUGGCGGACGGGUGAGUAACACGUGGGUAACCUGCCCAUUAGAGGGGGAUAACAUUCGGAAACGGAUGCUAAUACCGCAUAGUUUCAGGAAUCGCAUGAUUCUUGAAGGAAAGGUGGCUUCGGCUACCACUAAUGGAUGGACCCGCGGCGUAUUAGCUAGUUGGUGAGGUAAUGGCUCACCAAGGCAAUGAUACGUAGCCGACCUGAGAGGGUGAUCGGCCACACUGGGACUGAGACACGGCCCAGACUCCUACGGGAGGCAGCAGUAGGGAAUCUUCCGCAAUGGACGAAAGUCUGACGGAGCAACGCCGCGUGAGUGAAGAAGGUUUUCGGAUCGUAAAACUCUGUUGUUAAAGAAGAACAAGGAUGAGAGUAACUGCUCAUCCCCUGACGGUAUUUAACCAGAAAGCCACGGCUAACUACGUGCCAGCAGCCGCGGUAAUACGUAGGUGGCAAGCGUUGUCCGGAUUUAUUGGGCGUAAAGCGAGCGCAGGCGGUUCUUUAAGUCUGAUGUGAAAGCCCCCGGCUCAACCGGGGAGGGUCAUUGGAAACUGGAGAACUUGAGUGCAGAAGAGGAGAGUGGAAUUCCACGUGUAGCGGUGAAAUGCGUAGAUAUGUGGAGGAACACCAGUGGCGAAGGCGACUCUCUGGUCUGUAACUGACGCUGAAGCUC
RNAcentral lists this ribosomal RNA (691 nucleotides) under Carnobacterium sp. MYb219. RNAcentral describes it as "bacterial SSU rRNA". It matches the Rfam family "Bacterial small subunit ribosomal RNA", at positions 76 to 754 of the family's 1533-position model. Lineage: Bacteria; Bacillati; Bacillota; Bacilli; Lactobacillales; Carnobacteriaceae. The record is from RNAcentral.